GUGUCAGCAGCCGCGGUAAUACGGAGGAUGCAAGCGUUAUCCGGAAUGAUUGGGCGUAAAGCGUCUGCAGGUGGCUUUACAAGUCUGCUGUCAAAGACUGAGGCUUAACCUCGGAAAGGCAGUGGAAACUGAAAAGCUAGAGUGCGGUAGGGGUAGAGGGAAUUCCCGGUGUAGCGGUGAAAUGCGUAGAGAUCGGGAAGAACACCAGUGGCGAAAGCGCUCUGCUAGACCGCAACUGACACUCAUGGACGAAAGCUAGGGGAGCGAAUGGGAUUAGAUACCCCCGUAGUCC
RNAcentral lists this ribosomal RNA (292 nucleotides) under uncultured bacterium. Its description in RNAcentral is "partial 16S ribosomal RNA". It matches the Rfam family "Bacterial small subunit ribosomal RNA", at positions 505 to 796 of the family's 1533-position model. The record is from RNAcentral.